CGCACAUUGCGCCCCUUGGUAUUCCGAGGGGCAUGCCUGUUCGAGCGUCAUUAUCACCCCUCAAACUUCGGUUUGGUGUUGGACUUAGUUGUAGGUGUCUACAACUGGUCUCAAAGAUAGUGACGGCGUCCGAGAAGGAACCGGUACGAGGAGUUUUUCAUUAAACAUGUACGCGGCAGGAUUCUCGGGCGGCGGUCUUUAUACUUAUAAUUAUACAAGUGUUGACCUCGGAUCAGGUAGGAAUACCCGCUGAACUUAA
This 259-nucleotide unclassified non-coding RNA is filed under the name Chaetothyriales sp. RNAcentral describes it as "partial contains 5.8S ribosomal RNA, internal transcribed spacer 2, and large subunit ribosomal RNA". The record is from RNAcentral. Lineage: Eukaryota; Fungi; Ascomycota; Eurotiomycetes; Chaetothyriales.